CGCACGGGUGAGUAACACGUAUCCAACCUGCCGUCUACUCUUGGACAGCCUUCUGAAAGGAAGAUUAAUACAAGAUGGCAUCAUGAGUCCGCAUGUUCACAUGAUUAAAGGUAUUCCGGUAGACGAUGGGGAUGUGUUCCAUUAGAUAGUAGGCGGGGUAACGGCCCACCUAGUCUUCGAUGGAUAGGGGUUCUGAGAGGAAGGUCCCCCACAUUGGAACUGAGACACGGUCCAA
RNAcentral lists this ribosomal RNA (235 nucleotides) under uncultured bacterium. Its description in RNAcentral is "partial 16S ribosomal RNA". It matches the Rfam family "Bacterial small subunit ribosomal RNA", at positions 99 to 334 of the family's 1533-position model. The record is from RNAcentral.